Molecule: ribosomal RNA, 477 nt
Filed under: uncultured bacterium
Lineage: Bacteria
Description: partial 16S ribosomal RNA
Rfam family: Bacterial small subunit ribosomal RNA
Source: RNAcentral
GAUUAACGCUGGCGGCGUGCAUAACACAUGCAAGUCGAACGAUGAAACUUAGUAGACUUCUUCGGAAAGACACUAAGCGGCUUAGUGGCGAACGGAUGAGUAACGCGUGAGUAACCUGCCUUACACAAGGGGAUAGCCUUUGGAAACGAAGAAUAAUACCCUAUAAAACCAUAAAAGCACAUGCUAGAAUGGUCAAAGUGAUAGCGGUGUAAGAUGGACUUGCGUCUGAUUAGCUAGUUGGUGAGAUAAAAGCUCACCAAGGCAACGAUCAGUAGCCGGCUUGAGAGAGUGUACGGCCACAUUGGGACUGAGACACGGCCCAGACUCCUACGGGAGGCAGCAGUGGGGAAUUUUGCACAAUGGGGGAAACCCUGAUGCAGCGACGCCGCGUGAUUUAGAAGGCCUUCGGGUUGUAAAAAUCUUUUGUAUAGGAAGAAAAUGACAGUACUAUACGAAUAAGGUCCGGCUAAUUACGUG